RNAcentral lists this transfer RNA (76 nucleotides) under Chloracidobacterium sp. RNAcentral's name for it is "tRNA-Ala". It matches the Rfam family "tRNA". From Rfam's summary of the family: Transfer RNA (tRNA) molecules are approximately 80 nucleotides in length. The record is from RNAcentral. Lineage: Bacteria; Pseudomonadati; Acidobacteriota; Blastocatellia; Chloracidobacteriales; Chloracidobacteriaceae. RNAcentral also lists the same sequence under 1 other name.
GGGGAUGUAGCUCAGUUGGCAGAGCGCUGCGUUCGCAAUGCAGAGGUCGCAAGUUCGAUUCUUGUCAUCUCCACCA